RNAcentral lists this ribosomal RNA (497 nucleotides) under uncultured bacterium. RNAcentral's name for it is "partial 16S ribosomal RNA". It matches the Rfam family "Bacterial small subunit ribosomal RNA", at positions 28 to 507 of the family's 1533-position model. The record is from RNAcentral.
GACGAACGCUGGCGGCGUGCCUAAUACAUGCAAGUUGAGCGCUGAAGGUUGGUACUUGUACCAACUGGAUGAGCAGCGAACGGGUGAGUAACGCGUGGGGAAUCUGCCUUUGAGCGGGGGGCAACAUUUGGAAACGAAUGCUAAUACCGCAUAAAAACUUUAAACACAAGUUUUAAGUUUGAAAGAUGCAAUUGCAUCACUCAAAGAUGAUCCCGCGUUGUAUUAGCUAGUUGGUGAGGUAAAGGCUCACCAAGGCGAUGAUACAUAGCCGACCUGAGAGGGUGAUCGGCCACAUUGGGACUGAGACACGGCCCAAACUCCUACGGGAGGCAGCAGUAGGGAAUCUUCGGCAAUGGACGAAAGUCCGACCGAGCAACGCCGCGUGAGUGAAGAAGGUUUUCGGAUCGUAAAACUCUGUUGGUAGAGAAGAACGUUGGUGAGAGUGGAAAGCUCAUCAAGUGACGGUAACUACCCAGAAAGGGACGGCUAACUACGUG